This 443-nucleotide ribosomal RNA is filed under the name uncultured bacterium. RNAcentral's name for it is "partial 16S ribosomal RNA". It matches the Rfam family "Bacterial small subunit ribosomal RNA", at positions 338 to 795 of the family's 1533-position model. The record is from RNAcentral.
CCUACGGGAGGCAGCAGUGAGGAAUAUUGGUCAAUGGCCGAGAGGCUGAACCAGCCAAGUCGCGUGAAGGAAGAAGGCUUUCGGGUUGUAAACUUCUUUUCUCAGGGACGAAGCAAGUGACGGUACCUGAGGAAUAAGCCACGGCUAACUACGUGCCAGCAGCCGCGGUAAUACGUAGGUGGCAAGCGUUAUCCGGAUUUACUGGGUGGAAAGGGCGUGUAGGCGGGAAAGCAAGUCAGAUGUGAAAACCAUGGGCUCAACCUGUGGCCUGCAUUUGAAACUGUUUUUCUUGAGUACUGGGGAGGCAGACGGAAUUCCUAGUGUAGCGGUGAAAUGCGUAGAUAUUAGGAGGAACACCAGUGGCGAAGGCGGUCUGCUGGACAGCAACUGACGCUGAGGCGCGAAAGCGUGGGGAGCAAACAGGAUUAGAUACCCUAGUAGUC